This 292-nucleotide unclassified non-coding RNA is filed under the name uncultured Rhodanobacteraceae bacterium. Its description in RNAcentral is "contains 16S-23S intergenic spacer region". Lineage: Bacteria; Pseudomonadati; Pseudomonadota; Gammaproteobacteria; Lysobacterales; Rhodanobacteraceae. The record is from RNAcentral.
GGACUACGCGGGUAUCUAAUCCUGUUUGCUCCCCACGCUUUCGUGCCUCAGCGUCAGUGUUGUCCCAGAUGGCCGCCUUCGCCACUGAUGUUCCUCCCGAUCUCUACGCAUUUCACCGCUACACCGGGAAUUCCACCAUCCUCUGACACACUCUAGCUGUCCAGUAUCCAUUGCCAUUCCCAGGUUGAGCCCGGGGAUUUCACAACAGACUUAAACAACCGCCUACGCACGCUUUACGCCCAGUAAUUCCGAUUAACGCUUGCACCCUUCGUAUUACCGCGGCGGCUGACAC